GAUGAACGCUGGCGGCGUGCCUAAUACAUGCAAGUCGAGCGAACAGACGAGGAGCUUGCUCCUCUGACGUUAGCGGCGGACGGGUGAGUAACACGUGGAUAACCUACCUAUAAGACUGGGAUAACUUCGGGAAACCGGAGCUAAUACCGUAUAAUAUAUUGAACCGCAUGGUUCAAUAGUGAAAGACGGUUUUGCUGUCUCUUAUAGCUGGAUCCGCGCCGCAUUAGCUAGUUGGUAAGGUAACGGCUUACCAAGGCAACGAUGCGUAGCCGACCUGAGAGGGUGAUCGGCCACACUGGAACUGAGACACGGUCAAGACUCCUACGGGAGGCAGCAGUAGGGAAUCGGCCGCAAUGGGCGAAAGCUUGACGGAGCAACGCCGCGUGAGUGAUGAAGGUCUUCGGAUCGUAAAACUCUGUUAUUAGGGAAGAACAAAUGUGUAAGUAAAUAUGCACGUCUUGACGGUACCUGAUCAGAAAGCAACGGCUAACUACGUG
Molecule: ribosomal RNA, 497 nt
Filed under: uncultured bacterium
Lineage: Bacteria
Description: partial 16S ribosomal RNA
Rfam family: Bacterial small subunit ribosomal RNA
Source: RNAcentral